UAGAGCUUGAUCAUGGCUCAGAUUGAACGCUGGCGGCAGGCCUAACACAUGCAAGUCGAGCGGUAGAGAGAAGCUUGCUUCUCUUGAGAGCGGCGGACGGGUGAGUAAUGCCUAGGAAUCUGCCUGGUAGUGGGGGAUAACGUUCGGAAACGGACGCUAAUACCGCAUACGUCCUACGGGAGAAAGCAGGGGACCUUCGGGCCUUGCGCUAUCAGAUGAGCCUAGGUCGGAUUAGCUAGUUGGUGAGGUAAUGGCUCACCAAGGCGACGAUCCGUAACUGGUCUGAGAGGAUGAUCAGUCACACUGGAACUGAGACACGGUCCAGACUCCUACGGGAGGCAGCAGUGGGGAAUAUUGGACAAUGGGCGAAAGCCUGAUCCAGCCAUGCCGCGUGUGUGAAGAAGGUCUUCGGAUUGUAAAGCACUUUAAGUUGGGAGGAAGGGCAGUUACCUAAUACGUGAUUGUUUUGACGUACCGACAG
Molecule: ribosomal RNA, 481 nt
Filed under: Pseudomonas sp. 01WB03.4-27
Lineage: Bacteria; Pseudomonadati; Pseudomonadota; Gammaproteobacteria; Pseudomonadales; Pseudomonadaceae
Also listed under: 1 other name
Description: bacterial SSU rRNA
Rfam family: Bacterial small subunit ribosomal RNA
Source: RNAcentral